GGCGGGUCCCCUCGCAUAAGAGCUCUGCUAACCUGGUCAGGUCGGGAACGAAGCAGCCACGGCGGAUGUCUCUUAGUGCCGAGGAUAAGGCUCGCCUUU
RNAcentral lists this signal recognition particle RNA (99 nucleotides) under Sutterella sp. Its description in RNAcentral is "signal recognition particle sRNA small type". It matches the Rfam family "Bacterial small signal recognition particle RNA". Rfam says of the family: The signal recognition particle (SRP) is a universally conserved ribonucleoprotein involved in the co-translational targeting of proteins to membranes. Archaeal SRP consists of a 7S RNA and homologues of the eukaryotic SRP19 and SRP54 proteins. The record is from RNAcentral. Lineage: Bacteria; Pseudomonadati; Pseudomonadota; Betaproteobacteria; Burkholderiales; Sutterellaceae.